GCCAGGCAUAGUGGCGUGUGGCUGUAGUCCCAGCUACUCAGGAGGCUGAGGUGGGAGGAUUGUUUGAGCCCAGGAAUUUGAGGCUGCAGUGAGCUAUGAUUAAGCCCCUGCACUCCAGCCUGGGCAACAGAUCAAGACCCCAUCUCUA
RNAcentral lists this signal recognition particle RNA (148 nucleotides) under Gorilla gorilla gorilla (western lowland gorilla). Its description in RNAcentral is "Metazoan signal recognition particle RNA". It matches the Rfam family "Metazoan signal recognition particle RNA". From Rfam's summary of the family: The signal recognition particle (SRP) is a universally conserved ribonucleoprotein. It is involved in the co-translational targeting of proteins to membranes. The eukaryotic SRP consists of a 300-nucleotide 7S RNA and six proteins: SRPs 72, 68, 54, 19, 14, and 9. Lineage: Eukaryota; Metazoa; Chordata; Mammalia; Primates; Hominidae. The record is from Rfam by way of RNAcentral.